AACAACUCACCUGCCGAAUGAAUCAGCCCUGAAAAUGGAUGGCGCUUAAGCGGGCGACCGACACCAUGCCGUCUGUACAAUUUUUUUUUUAUGUUUUGCAGAUGAGUAGGAGGACGUGGCGGUUGUGUCGAAGCGUGCGUGCGAACGCGUGUGGAACGGCCGCUAGUGCAGAUCUUGGUGGUAGUAGCAAAUAUUCAAGCGAGAUCCUUGAAGGGCGAAGCGGGGAAGGGUUCCACGCAAACAUUGAUUGGGCGUGGGUGAGUCGUUCCUAAGCCGAGUGGCAAUUGCUAAGUAGCGGCGAAAGGGAAGCAGGUUGACAUUCCUGCACACGGAUGUGGAGGCGGUGACGCUUUAAUGAGGGCGAAGACGCUGGCGAUGGCGCUGGGCAGAGAUUUCUUUUCUGUUUGACCGCUGAAGCGCGCGGUGUGGAAUCCGCUUGUCGGGAGAAACACGCGCGUUCGGGCAGAGCGCCGGGGCUAUUCCGGCGUCCAGCUCGCCAUCGACGGCCCUUGAAAAUUUGCCUGCUGGAAUAGUAAUUUCUUUUCUUUAAAGAAAUCUAUGAAGAUCCACGCCGUGGCGUACCGAUAACCGCAUCAGGUCCCCAAGGUGAACAGCCUCUGCUCUAUAUGAAUAAU
This 635-nucleotide ribosomal RNA is filed under the name Phyllymenia phuquocensis. RNAcentral's name for it is "Grateloupia phuquocensis eukaryotic LSU rRNA". It matches the Rfam family "Eukaryotic large subunit ribosomal RNA", at positions 1284 to 1899 of the family's 3401-position model. Lineage: Eukaryota; Rhodophyta; Florideophyceae; Halymeniales; Halymeniaceae. The record is from RNAcentral.